CCCAAAGUCUCUAGGAGAGAACUUCUGGGAGUGUAAUAAAUCAAGUGAGAUGGAAUAUAUAUAUAAUACUUAACAUAAUGAAAUGAAACUUUAUCGAUAUGGGAACCCCCUCUCUUGACACAGGAUUUAACAUUGCCAGGGUCCACUGAAUAGGAUGUAAUACAUGCUAGUCUGGGGAAAUGAUGGGUCAUACUCACUUAAGUAGAAAUUCCAGAACUCCAUGGUAAAUGGUUGAGCAAGGAAUCAAGAGGCUCAUAGAAGUGGGCAUGCUAGAGUGGAUGUGCUAUGUAAGGCCAGAGAGCCCACCCACGGUAGGAGAGCCCAGAAGAAUGCAGUUUACUGAACCUAUAAGGAAUGCACUUGUGAGGAGGCACCAGUGUUGUUGUGGAGCUCAGAUGUUAUUUCCUGGAGGCCAGGGCUAAGGAUAGGAGCAGCUUUACAGAACCCGGCUCCCUGAAAGCCAUGGUGAUAAUGGAAGCCAGUUCAUGGCAUUUAACCUUCAGAAGCUAAGUGCAUGUGAUUAUCAUAAUGAGCAGCAUCGCAGGAGUGGCAAGUAGAAGAGCCUGAGCCACCAAGAACUAUGCCAGUGGGUGAUGGAGCCUGAGGUUACGAGGGCAAGACAGCUGGGUGGACAGCAAGGGUAUUGUUCAAUGUAAACUGCAAAAGAAAUCAUGGUGGGUAAUCAGGAGGGUGAGGGCAGACAGCCCAAUACAAUGUCACAAUCCCUAGCUUAGUCUCCAGAACCUGUAACAUAUUGACUCAAGGAGAGGCUAGGUCCCCAUGAAGAUGGGCCACUAUGACACCAGUGCAACUGGAUACAUUAAUGGAUCUUUCCAGUUCUUCCUCAAAGGAAUUACAGCCAUUUCCUAGGUAACUAUACUCUGGGAAAGGGGAUAUGCUUAAACAUUUUGAGAACUGUUGAACCUAAGGUCUGACUUGAUAUGGAUAGUCAAAGACCUGAAGCCUCAUCCUGGCUUCUCUGGGAGAGUAGAGGUGUACAUUGGCCAAGCAAUAAAUGGAGUUCAGGCUCAUGUCCAGCUUAUAUGGGGCACAUGGAUUAACAAAGUGCUCAGUUCUUCAGUCGCUGAAUGUAUAAGUGGAGUGGUUAUACUUGGUAGUUGUCAGAAUGCUCAUUUGGAUUCCUUAGCCUGUGUGAUAAGAGCUAUCACAGAGUGCGAAGGCCAAGUAGAAGCCCCUAGAACUGCCUCCCCAGCCAAAAUCCUAAACCUAAAACAACUUUAUGUCCGAAGGGAAAUGGCAGAAAUCUGUGCCAUUCUUGAAGAACUAAAGGAUUCCUGGGUGGGGUCCCUUUCAUGUCCACAUUUAAUUUACUGGCAAAUUAAAUGUAUGGCCCCUACAUAAAGCAGAACAAUCCUCCUACACGAGAGUGGACUACUGUAAACAUCAUCAAGUCAUAACCCAGUUACAGCUCCUGUCGAUACCUGGUGGUGAGCAGUAGUGGCCUCUUUAGGUAGUUUGAAGGGAGUUGAUAAAGAUUAGCACAGCAAGAGUUGAAAUGGGAAGACCAGAGAUGUCUCCAGGUCCAGCUAAAUGAUGUUAAGGAUCCAGCUAAAGUUGAAGGCCAUGAAUUAGUGGUGGCCUCCAUUCUCUGAUUAUGUGAGUUUUCAUGCUCAGAAGCCUAGAUAUAGGCUCUAAAGUGCUGUACUCAUUUCCUAGGGCUGCUGUAACAAAGUACCAUAAACAGGGGAUUAAAAUAACUGAAAUUUAUUCUCUCACGGUUCUGGGAGGUUAGCAGUCCAAAAUCAAGGUGUCAGUAGGGCCAUGCUCUCUCUGAAGUCUCUAGAGAAGGAUUCUUCCUUGCCUCUUCCAGGUUCUAGUGUCUCUUGGCAAUCCUUGUCAUUCCUUGGCUUGUACUUACAUAAUCCCAACCUCCAUCUUUACAUGAUGAUCUUCCCUUCGUGUCUUCACAUCAUUUUCCCUCUCUGUGUGCAAGUAGGAACUCAACUCCUCCUCCUGAGUGUCUCCUUUUCUCUCUCACUACUACCACGCUCACAACACUUCUGACACCAGAUGUGUGUGUGUAUGCAGGGAGUUUCUCCAUACCAAACGAUUCUCUGUGGCACCAGCUGGACAUACUACAAUUUAACUCAAUUCUGACACUAUAUACUUGCAGAGCUUCCGAUCCCUCAGGUUAAGGGCUCAGUUCCGCAAGAAUUUUCCAUCCCAUGUCAGAGCCAAUCACAAGUAGUAGUUCCCCAGAUGUCAGACAGAAGUUGUGGGUAACCCUUCAUAUGCAAGUGGCAUACGAAGGGUGGUGGGAGCAGUCUUGCAGGACUGAGCCCGUAACUUGAGGGAACUGACACUCUGUCUGACUUGGCUACCAAUCAGAGGUUCUCAUGCCCCCUCCUCAGGUUCAAUUAAUUUGCUACAGCAGCUCACAGAACUCAGGAGAACACUUUCUUACAUUGAUCAGUUUAUUAAAGGAUAUGAUAAAGGAUAUAGAUGAGCUGCCAGUUGAAGAGAUAUAUAGGGUGAGGUUUGGGAGGGUCCCGGUGCAGGAGCUUCUGUCCCCAUGGAGUUGGGGUGCAAUCACUCUCCUGGUACAUUGGUGUCUCCACCCAUCUGGAAGCUCCAGAAACCCUAUACUAUUGGGAUUUUUAUGGAGGCUUCCCCAUGUAGGCAUGAUCAAUUGUUAAGUCCAUUUCCAGCCCGUCUCCCCUCUCUAGAGAAGUGGGGAGGGCAGGGCUGAAAUUCCAAACUUCUAACCAUGGCUUGAUCUUUCUGGUGACCAGCCCCCAUUCAGGCACCAUCCAGAAGCCCUAGAGUCACCUCAUUACAACAAAAGAUCUUCCUUGAGUUCUUAUCACUUAGGAAUUUACAAGGGUUUUUGGAGCCCUGUGUCAGAGACAGAAUCAAAGACCAAAUAUUAGAACAAGAAACGGUCCUAGUGUUCUUAUCACUUAGGAAUUUACAAGAGUUUUAGGAGCCCUGUGUCAGGAACCCAGGGCAGAAACCAACAUAUGUAUAUAUUAUCUAUUAUCUCACAGGAUGAAAAUUCCAGGCUCCUAAUUAUUGCUCAUUUUUUCUGAUGACCAGCUCACAUCCAGGAGCCCACCAAGAGUCACCAAAUUAGAACAAACAUUCCUAUCACCCAGAAAAUAUCAAAGGAUAUAGGAGCUCGGUGUCCGGGACCAGCUCAAAGACCAAAUGUUAGACGAAAGAUUCUCCUAGUGCUUUUAUCACUUAGGAAAUUACAGGGUUUUAGGAGCUCUGUGCCAGGAACUGGGCAGAGACCAAAUAACAUGAUUUCUAUUAUUUCACAGUGUGUCUUCUUUUGGACUCUGUUCUGUGUCCAGAUUUCCCUCCUUUUAUAAGGACGCCAGUCUUUGGGUUGGAGCCCACCUUGUCAUCAUGACCUCAUUAACUUCAUUGAUCACAUCUGCAAAGACUCACUUCCUAAUAGGUCACGUUCACAAGUACCUGGGAUUAGGACUUCCACAUAUCUUUCUAGGGGACACAACUUAACCCAUGACUAUGGCAUAGGUCCUGCAGUCAAGACGUGAAGGAUAUGAUUGACUGGGGGAAAGAAAAGAGGGCAUGAUAAUGUCAAAGAACAGGGAUAGUGGAAACGAGGGUGGGUUGAGAUAAUAAGUGCUCUAGUCAGAAACUAGAAUAUUGAGGUUUGCAUUUCCAGAGGGUGGGUGAUUUGGAUGGAUCCUAGAUCCAGAGAACAGCUAAGAGCACGGACCACUGAAGAGUGAGGAUAACGAUUGUCAGACUUAAGAGGUAAAGGAACAUUAUCUCUGUGAACAUUGGCGUUGCCCGUGAUCUUGGCAGGGGUUGGAGUGGGAGGAAAUUCUGUGAGCAAAAUACCAGUGAUAUCUGUGAAUGAUGGGGAGUGAACAGGAGAACUCAAGAGAAUAGUCUUGAGAAAGGCGAGAAGGUGCAUAUUACUAAGGGAAAGAAGCCAACGUGAAAAGGCUGUGUACUGUGUGAUUCCAACUAUAUGACAUGCUAGAAAAGGCAAAAUUAUGCACACAGUAAAAAGAUCAGUGAUUGUGAGAGGGUAAGCGGGGGGGAGGAUGAAUGAAUCCUUGUGGAGCACAGAGGAUUUUUAGGACAGUAAAACUUCUCUGUGUGACACUAUCCUAUAGUAUACUAUAUACACACCAUACAGUGUACACUGUGGUAUGUGAUAUUUUCCAAAGAUGUCUUCUGCAAUUCUCUUCUUACAAUGUCAUUUUGACACUUCUCACUUCUAGACGUGGAGUCUGUCCUUCUCUUGAACCUGGGCGGGCUUUGUGACUACUCUGAAAGUGAUGCCAUGUGACUUUAGAAGCUGGGUUGUAAAAUGUGAUAACUACUGCCUGGCUCUCCUGGGAGGUUUGCUCUUAGAGCACAGCCGCCAUAUUCUGAGGAAGCCCAGGCAGACGCACGGAGAGACCACACAUGGGCAUUUUGAGCAGGAGCCCCAGCUGACAGCCAGUAUCAACCACUGAGUGAGAGACCUUCAGAGGGUUCCAGUCCUUAGCUGUCUACUCAUCCCAGCCUCAAGGUCUCCCUUGCUGAGGCCUCAAACAUUGUGGAGCAAAGACAAGCCUUUCCUGCUGUGACAUUUCUGAAUUCCUGACUCAAAGAACCUGGGAGUACAAUAUAAGGGUUUUUUAAAUUCCACCAUUAAUUUGAGGGUGGUUGGUUAUGCAGCAACAGUAACUGGAACAGGUGGGGAAAACAGAGUAUUCAAUACAUGGUUUUGGGAAAAAAAAUAGGUAGCCGUUUGAAAAAUAAAGCCCAUCACUCAUACCAAAAUAAAUUCCUGAUGGGUCAAAGAGUGAAAUGUAAGAACUUAAACCAAAAAGUUACUAGGAUAAUAUUGGAGAAUUAAAAAAAAAAUUAGAAGGAAGAUUUUUUCUAAGUUGAUAAAAUCCUAAAAUCAUAAAACAAAAGAUCAAUAAAUAUGACUAAUAGAAAUAAUAAUAUAUUGCUCUGGGGAAAAAAACACCAUAAGUAAGAGUCAUAAGGAAAGUGAAAAGAUCUUAACCAUACGAUGAGUCAGUCAGAAAAAGACCAACGACCCGUUAGAGAAGGGAACAGAAGGAAGAGCCAAUUCACAGGAAAAAAGAAAUGCGAUUCUGACUGGUUGUGUCACUUUGGGCAAAUUUGUUAACCUCUGUUUGCCUCAGACUCCCCAUCUAUAAAAUGGUGAUGAUAACAACAGGAUUUAACUCAGGGUUUUUUGAGGAUUGAGUGACUUAAUGUAUGUGAGGCAUUUAGAACAGCAUCUGAGUAUAAUAGGCAGCAGUGUGGGAUCGCUAUUAGAUUUGCUGUAUUGAGAGGUUGGGGGUGGGGACGGGAAUGCUCUUGCAUUGCUUGUGGGAGAGUAAAUUUACUCACUGUGUAGAGGGCCAUUUGCCAGGAGCUUUAGGAACGAAAAAAAGUGACAAUCCAGCAUUUCCGUGUGUAAGGAUGCAUCCUACAAAUGUAGUCACACACGCGGGAAACACAGCACGGGCAAAGGUGCUCAUUGGAACGUUGUUUGUAGCAGCCGGACUAGAACAGUCUAAUAUGCCCCUCCAUCCACAGGCGAUUGGUUUAAAAAUGUGCAUCCUUGGUGCAAUGGAAUAUUGUGAAACUGCUGAAAAUGAGUCUCCUCACGAGUAAACAAAAUUGAUGAGACCGCGCUCGUGCACAGGCACACGGCGGGCGGCACAGCUCCCAGCGGUCACCGUUUACUGAACUGCCAGAAGUGGAGCGAUCACAAGCCGAGUCUGAUAGAGUCCCAUCUCAACCAGGCUCUCUGAGGCACCCAUGGUCGUUUGUAUCAAUGCCUGCCGGAGAUGCCACUGGCUUCAGCCUUUGCUCAAAAAGAGCAGCUCCACCUCUCAGCCGCUUGCCUGCCCGGGCUGCCCCCAGCAGCUGUUUCCCAGCCAGCCCCAGGCACGGCUCACUGCCAGGGAGCAGAAGAACAUGCCUGAGUGAAUCCUUCCAGUCCUCUUUGUCUCUACUGAGGAUUACUCCACUGCGUCCACAGCACAGCCACUGCUGGAGAGAGCGCUGCCGGGUCUGCUCACGUGGCAGGCUCGCUCGGAGCUGGGAAGCCAGUUGCUUCCUUGUGGACAAAGGCCUAACACUGUGACCUACGGAGUCCACAUUCCCCUGUUUGAAAGACAGAUAAUAACUUACUAAAAUAAAAUUUUGAUGCAUUUUUCAAUUUCUGACUUAUAACAUUCAAAUAACCCUAUUCUGAAGACAGUGUAAAAAUCACUAAAAUGAAUCUUCACGUUGCAUUUUUUUUCAGUUUGCUGGCUACUCAUUCCUAUGAAAUGUCUUUACAAGUUUAGCUUUAUAUGAUUGAGGUGAAACAGCACAAAACAUUCAAUUUCCUGUUAUAGUAGGUAUCUUGUUACUAACGGUGUCUUAGGACUCAAAUCAGAACAAAAAAAUAUCUUUACUAAUUUCCUUCCUUAACAACAUUCUGUGACUUGCUUCCUUUCAAAUCUCCUUUCGGAUGUAUAACUUUUCUAAUUUAGUGUGACUCUCCUUAUUUUCAAAAUAUACAUUCGAAUUUAUUUUCAAAUGUAUAUUUUACCUAAUUUACUGUUUCUCUUCCUAGUCUCGAAAUGUAUACACCUGAAUCACAUUUCAAAUGUAUGUUAUUGUCAUCAUCCAUUUGAAGUUUUGCUUCUUACUUGUCAAUUCAAGCACCCCCCUGCUAGCUGGAUCCCCAUACUGUUUCUGACAAUGUUGGGGGGUCUUGAAUUGUUCUCCAGUAUAAAAGGGAGCACAUAAAAGUGGUGGAUCAAGAACGGAUGUGUGUCCAGUUUAUGACUCAUCGCCAAUCUAGCUCAUUUCUUCCUACAUAGAGAUCUCACAUAACCAACGAAAGCUAUGUUUCAAAAUCAUCUGGGUCUGUGGUCUUAGUUCCACUUCCUCUAGUUAAGCCCUACUUACCUCUUACUCUUGGGUUAAGCAUCGCUUCCUCAGGGAAUCCUUCUCUGACCACAUCCUACCCCCACCACAAACUGAUCCAGACACUCCAGUUAUGUAAUCCAGCCUCUUAUGCUUUUCACCAUAGUGUUUAUUACAAUUUUUUAUUUAUGAUUCUCAGCACUUAUUUGAUUAAUGUCUAUCUCCCUUCACUAGACUCUUAAACUCAUUGAGGAGACUGAUAUUCUCUUACGCCCAUGUCCUGAGCCUAGAAUAAGGCUUGGCUCAUAGUAGAGGAUUCAUUAAAUAUUUAGUGAAUAAAUGAAUAAAUAAAUGAAUGAAUAAAGAGAUGAAAAAAUGAAAGAAUGACUACGGUUCUGGUCACUAGAACCAUGACCAGCACGUGGUGGCGCUCAAUAAAAUGAUAGCCGAUAUUAUCAUUGUGAGUCUCCACUCCAGAGCAAAUCAAUUUGCUGAGUGUUUCAGUUUGUUGAAAUUGAAUGGCUUCAAUUCGAUGAUUAUGGCUUCAGAAACUGAAAGUUAUGUGCUCCUUCAGGUAUGCAGUUUCCUGUAGUUGAACUGUUUUCUGUAGCUUUGCAAUAGACAGAUAUGUAGCUAGAAAUAGAAUGAUUUAUAUAUGUGUGUAUGAGUACAUGUAAAC
This is a long non-coding RNA of Equus asinus (donkey), 7549 nucleotides long. The record is from Ensembl. NCBI's taxonomy places the organism in Eukaryota, Metazoa, Chordata, Mammalia, Perissodactyla, Equidae.